This 238-nucleotide ribosomal RNA is filed under the name uncultured bacterium. RNAcentral's name for it is "partial 16S ribosomal RNA". It matches the Rfam family "Bacterial small subunit ribosomal RNA", at positions 1263 to 1500 of the family's 1533-position model. The record is from RNAcentral.
UAGAGCAAAUCUCAAAAAAACAAUCUCAGUUCAGACUGCAGGCUGCAACUCGCCUGCACGAAGUCGGAAUUGCUAGUAAUCGUAGGUCAGCAUACUACGGUGAAUACGUUCCCGGGCCUUGUACACACCGCCCGUCAAACCAUGAGAGUUGGCAACACCCGAAGUCGGUAGUCUAACCGCAAGGAGGACGCCGCCGAAGGUGGGGUUGAUGAUUAGGGUUAAGUCGUAACAAGGUAUC